RNAcentral lists this ribosomal RNA (505 nucleotides) under uncultured bacterium. RNAcentral describes it as "partial 16S ribosomal RNA". It matches the Rfam family "Bacterial small subunit ribosomal RNA", at positions 28 to 507 of the family's 1533-position model. The record is from RNAcentral.
GACGAACGCUGGCGGCGUGCCUAAUACAUGCAAGUGGGACGCAAGGAAACACACUGUGCUUGCACACCGUGUUUUCUUGAGUCGCGAACGGGUGAGUAACGCGUAGGUAACCUGCCUAUUAGCGGGGGAUAACUAUUGGAAACGAUAGCUAAUACCGCAUAAUAUUAAUUAUUGCAUGAUAAUUGAUUGAAAGAUGCAAGCGCAUCACUAGUAGAUGGACCUGCGUUGUAUUAGCUAGUUGGUAAGGUAAGAGCUUACCAAGGCGACGAUACAUAGCCGAACUGAGAGGGUGAUCGGCCACACUGGGACUGAGACACGGCCCCGACUCCUACGGGGGGGAGCAGUAGGGAAUCUUCGGCAAUGGACGAAAGUCUGAACGAGGAACGGCGGGUGAGUGAAGAAGGGUUUCGGAUCGUAAAGAUCUGUUGUAAGUGAAGAAAGUGUGUGAGAGUGGAAAGUUCACACAGUGACGGUAGCUUACCAGAAAGGGACGGCUAACUACGUG